GGACUACCCGGGUAUCUAAUCCUGUUUGAUCCCCACACUUUCGUGCAUCAGCGUCAGUUACAGUCUAGUAAGCUGCCUUCGCUAUCGGUGUUCUUGACGAUAUCUAAGCAUUUCACCGCUACACCGUCAAUUCCGCCUACCUCGUCUGUACUCAAGUUCUGCAGUAUCAAUGGCACAUCGACAGUUGAGCUGCCGGAUUUCACCACUGACUUAUAGAACCGCCUACGCACCCUUUAAACCCAAUAAAUCCGGACAACGCUUGCCACCUACGUAUUACCGCGGCUGCUGGCAC
This 292-nucleotide ribosomal RNA is filed under the name uncultured Bacteroidota bacterium. Its description in RNAcentral is "uncultured Bacteroidetes bacterium partial 16S ribosomal RNA". Lineage: Bacteria; Pseudomonadati; Bacteroidota. The record is from RNAcentral.